GAUGUUCAAGUAAAAUAAACCUAGAAAAAGAAAGAAAAUCCGGUAUUAUCCAUAAAG
RNAcentral lists this transfer RNA (57 nucleotides) under Bigelowiella longifila. Its description in RNAcentral is "partial tRNA". The record is from RNAcentral. Lineage: Eukaryota; Cercozoa; Chlorarachniophyceae.